RNAcentral lists this ribosomal RNA (323 nucleotides) under Filosa sp. RNAcentral's name for it is "SSU rRNA". The stretch from base 106 to 323 matches the Rfam family "Eukaryotic small subunit ribosomal RNA", at positions 736 to 955 of the family's 1831-position model. The record is from RNAcentral. Lineage: Eukaryota; Cercozoa.
GAUUUCUGGCUUGAUGCGCCUGACCCGCCGCGGUUACGCGUGUGAGUGUCGGUGCGCGUCUGCCAUCUUGCUGUGAGAACGAUUCCGCCCUUCACUGGGUUGGGGUCGCGAUCCGGCUCUAUUACUUUGAAAAAAUUAGAGUGUUUAAAGCAGGCGUUUGCUAUGAAUACAUUAGCAUGGAAUAAUAAUUUAGGACUUCGGUUCUAUUUUGUUGGUUUCUAGGACUGAAGUAAUGAUUGAUAGGGAUAGUUGGGGGUGCUAGUAUUCAGUGGCCAGAGGUGAAAUUCUUGGAUUCACUGAAGACUAACUUAUGCGAAAGCAUU